RNAcentral lists this long non-coding RNA (634 nucleotides) under Sus scrofa (pig). Its description in RNAcentral is "lncRNA (ENSSSCG00060065182.1)". Lineage: Eukaryota; Metazoa; Chordata; Mammalia; Artiodactyla; Suidae. The record is from RNAcentral.
GCAGUAUGUUGCUGCUGGUUUCAGGGCGGUGAUCUCGGAAGCCGAAAGGGACCGAAGCGAAGGGGAGGCGGAAGAGAAGCAGCAGUUUCCUGCAGAAAGAGAGGCCGAGGCUCUGUUUAUGACUACCUGACUCACAGAGGAUGCACUCUUGUGGUCACACAACUGCCCAGGCACAAGUUCAUUAAGGAGGCAUGCCAUUGGUGCUACUGUGGCUUCUAGGGCCCACAGCUGAUCAUCUUUUACACGAUGCAAAGGAUGGGAUGGGGCUUCUUCCCCUCUCCACAGACCUGGGCAGGCUCUUGAAGUAUCCCUGGGCAUCAGGACUUUUGAAAGCUUCCCAGAGGAUUCUAAUGUCAGGAGUGUGAGAGAAGGGCUGUUACCCGGGAUCAGUUUGCCCUCUCUUCCUGGAAAACUAGUAAGUAGCUUACAGCCAAUCUGUCUUCAUUUGUUUGCUUGUGUUUUGUAAAGCUAGACUCCUGAAGACCUUUACUGAUGUUUGAAUAGAGUGCCAUGGAUGACAAUCAAUCCUGAAUUCAUUAACAUGUGGACUUCUCCUUUGUACCAUUUGAUAUUGCCAUCUUAAUGUGAUCGUUAAGAAAAAAACUUACUAUGUUGCCUCUCCCCAGAAGACAGU